CCUACGGGGGGCAGCAGUGAGGAAUAUUGGUCAAUGGACGAGAGUCUGAACCAGCCAAGUAGCGUGAAGGAUGACUGCCCUAUGGGUUGUAAACUUCUUUUAUAUGGGAAUAAAAUGUUCCACGUGUGGGAUUUUGUAUGUACCAUAUGAAUAAGGAUCGGCUAACUCCGUGCCAGCAGCCGCGGUAAUACGGAGGAUCCGAGCGUUAUCCGGAUUUAUUGGGUUUAAAGGGAGCGUAGGUGGACUGUUAAGUCAGUUGUGAAAGUUUGCGGCUCAACCGUAAAAUUGCAGUUGAAACUGGCAGUCUUGAGUACAGUAGAGGUGGGCGGAAUUCGUGGUGUAGCGGUGAAAUGCUUAGAUAUCACGAAGAACUCCGAUUGCGAAGGCAGUUCACUGGACUGCAACUGACACUGAGGCUCGAAAGUGUGGGUAUCAAACAGGAUUAGAUACCCGAGUAGUC
This 460-nucleotide ribosomal RNA is filed under the name uncultured bacterium. RNAcentral's name for it is "partial 16S ribosomal RNA". It matches the Rfam family "Bacterial small subunit ribosomal RNA", at positions 338 to 795 of the family's 1533-position model. The record is from RNAcentral.